AAUCAACGCUGGCGGCGCGCCUAACACAUGCAAGUCGAACGAGAAAGUGGAGCAAUCCAUGAGUAAAGUGGCGUACGGGUGAGUAACACGUGGAUAAUCUACCCUCUAGUGGGGAAUACCGAUGGGAAACCGUCGACAAUACCGCAUAAGCUCGAGAGAGGAAAGCAGCAAUGCGCUGGAGGAGGAGUCCGCGGCUGAUUAGCUAGUUGGUGAGGUAAAGGCUCACCAAGGCAGAGAUCAGUAGCCGGCCUGAGAGGGCACACGGCCACACUGGCAC
RNAcentral lists this ribosomal RNA (277 nucleotides) under uncultured bacterium. RNAcentral's name for it is "partial 16S ribosomal RNA". It matches the Rfam family "Bacterial small subunit ribosomal RNA", at positions 32 to 319 of the family's 1533-position model. The record is from RNAcentral.